UACGUAGGGUGCAAGCGUUAAUCGGAAUUACUGGGCGUAAAGCGUGCGCAGGCGGUUGUGCAAGACAGAUGUGAAAUCCCCGGGCUCAACCUGGGAACUGCAUUUGUGACUGCAUGGCUAGAGUGCGGCAGAGGGGGAUGGAAUUCCGCGUGUAGCAGUGAAAUGCGUAGAUAUGCGGAGGAACACCGAUGGCGAAGGCAAUCCCCUGGGCCUGCACUGACGCUCAUGCACGAAAGCGUGGGGAGCAAACAGG
RNAcentral lists this ribosomal RNA (253 nucleotides) under uncultured bacterium. RNAcentral's name for it is "partial 16S ribosomal RNA". It matches the Rfam family "Bacterial small subunit ribosomal RNA", at positions 524 to 776 of the family's 1533-position model. The record is from RNAcentral.